ACAAGCGGUGGAGCAUGUGGUUUAAUUCGACGCAACGCGAAGAACCUUACCAGGGCUUGACAUCCCCUGACCGCGUAUGAAAGUACGUUUUCACCCUCGGGUGACAGGGAGACAGGUGGUGCAUGGUUGUCGUCAGCUCGUGUCGUGAGAUGUUGGGUUAAGUCCCGCAACGAGCGCAACCCCUACGUUUAGUUGCUAACGCGUGAAGGCGAGCACUCUAGACGAACUGCCGUUGACAAAACGGAGGAAGGUGGGAUGACGUCAAAUCAUCAUGCCCCUUAUGUUCUGGGCUACACACGUGCUACAAUGGCCGGUACAGACGGACGCAAAGCCGCGAGGUGGAGCAAAUCCUAAAAAGCCGGUCUCAGUUCGGAUUGCAGGCUGCAAUUCGCCUGCAUGAAGUCGGAAUCGCUAGUAAUCGCAGGUCAGCAUACUGCGGUGAAUACGUUCCCGGGCCUU
RNAcentral lists this ribosomal RNA (459 nucleotides) under uncultured Pelotomaculum sp. Its description in RNAcentral is "bacterial SSU rRNA". It matches the Rfam family "Bacterial small subunit ribosomal RNA", at positions 925 to 1382 of the family's 1533-position model. Lineage: Bacteria; Bacillati; Bacillota; Clostridia; Eubacteriales; Desulfotomaculaceae. The record is from RNAcentral.